Molecule: long non-coding RNA, 665 nt
Filed under: Homo sapiens (human)
Lineage: Eukaryota; Metazoa; Chordata; Mammalia; Primates; Hominidae
Description: CFLAR antisense RNA 1
Source: RNAcentral
CCAACGACCAAAGCAAAGGACAGCAGAACUGACUGACACAGCUCAGAAAAUAUCCAAAGCUCUGUAUGCUCUGGAAAGGAAGACAAGAAAUGCUAAAGACUCUGGAUAUUGCUCUGUUUCUAUAAGGUCCCACCCAUAUACCAUCUCUUCUUUUGGAUUUCCUUUGGCAGUAACCUGAAGUUAUAUAAGUGGCAUGUUCCCAAGUACAAAGGGAGCCCUUCUAUUGCUUCUGCUUACAAAGAGGUGUCAACCUAAGAAAAAGCCAGAACAAGCCAAAGUUCAGGGUUCCCUUGUAUGGAAGUUCUCAGGAGAACAACACUCUCAGAGUCCCACUGUCUCAAAGAAUUCUUAAUGGACAGCUAUACUUGGCCCCAAGGUUUCAACCUCACACUGAAGAAAGUGACAUAAGAAAACACAAGUCCCAGUGCUAUCAGGGGCUAUCUGGAAAAGCUGCUUAAACAGCAAGUGAAAGAAGGCUCUCCCCUACCCCGUUCUAGACUCACCCUGAAGUUAUUUGAAGGAUCCUUGAGACUCUUUUGGAUUGCUGCUUGGAGAACAUUCCUGUAACUUGUCCCUGCUCCUUGAACUAUAAAAGCAGAAGGGAGGUACUGAGUUAAAACUUACAAAUUAUUAUCAAAUAAAUCUUCAAUAGUGGUUCAGUCCAA